Molecule: ribosomal RNA, 444 nt
Filed under: uncultured Bacteroidota bacterium
Lineage: Bacteria; Pseudomonadati; Bacteroidota
Description: bacterial SSU rRNA
Rfam family: Bacterial small subunit ribosomal RNA
Source: RNAcentral
GGGCCCGCACAAGCGGAGGAGCAUGUGGUUUAAUUCGACGAUACGCGAGGAACCUUACCUGGGCUCGAACGGUUAAUGAAUAAUAAAGAGAUUUAUUAGACUGCAAAGACAUUAAUCGAGGUGCUGCAUGGUUGUCGUCAGCUCGUGCCGUGAGGUGUUAGGUUAAGUCCUGCAACGAGCGCAACCCUUACUUUCAGUUACCAUCAAGUAAUGUUGGGGACUCUGGAAGAACUGCCGGCGCAAGCCGAGAGGAAGGUGGGGAUGACGUCAAAUCAGCACGGCCCUUAUGUCCAGGGCUACGACACGUGCUACAAUGGUCGAAACAGAGGGCAGCUACUUGGCAACAAGAUGCGAAUCUACGAAACUCGAUCUCAGUUCGGAUCGGAGUCUGUAACUCGACUCCGUGAAGUUGGAUUCGCUAGUAAUCGCGCAUCAGCCAUGGCG